AUGCCUUAAGUUAAAUGUGAUUAAUAAGCAGACCGUUUUUAUCACUCUUGCCAAAGGGGAAAAGAAAGAACACAAGGUGGCACAUAAACAGGGCGACAAAAGAUUCUGUAAAGGCUAGAAAUCUGGAGCAACAAAUACAAAAAGCAGCAGGCCAGAUGGCAUCAAUGGAAGGAAAUAAACAGCCAACUCUUCAGGGUGAGCCACUUCACGAGGACUGGUGCUGUGGCUUCCUCUCACGUUCUGAAGAUGUACUGGUUAGCAGGUUAAUUCGUCAUAAGGUUGUCAUUGGGCCAGAAGGAUCAACUACCACACCCUUUUUCUAAGUGAGGCAACACUUCACUUGUGAGUCUGUUGGGGUAAUCUAUUGCAUCCAGUGCUCCCAGUGCGGCCUCCUCUAUAUCGGUGAGACCCAACGCAGACUGGGUGACCGCUUUGUCGAUCACCUCCGCUCCGUCUGCCACAACAGACAGGAUCUCCCGGUUGCCACUCACUUCAACUCUGCUUCUCAUUCCCAUUCAGAUCUACUUUUCCCACUUCUCAGGGUGCUACCUGGAGACCAGGGGAGGCAGCGCGAUCACCCUGGGUCGAGAUGUCAGAACCACCUCUCCCCGAUUGGCUUCAAUCACUAUAUUCUGUAGCGUGUUCUCCAGAAUCAGCUCCAAGAGGUCACAGAACUCGGGCAGUCUGGGAAGUGAUGGAGACAAAGAAGAACAAGUUUACCUCACACCAAAAUAAAGUAUGCAAUUGGUCUGCG
Hypanus sabinus (Atlantic stingray) is the source of this 754-nucleotide long non-coding RNA. RefSeq lists it as uncharacterized. NCBI's taxonomy places the organism in Eukaryota, Metazoa, Chordata, Chondrichthyes, Myliobatiformes, Dasyatidae. The record is from RefSeq and is a predicted model, not a curated record. The transcript is spliced from 4 exons.